RNAcentral lists this unclassified non-coding RNA (506 nucleotides) under Hevea brasiliensis (rubber tree). Lineage: Eukaryota; Viridiplantae; Streptophyta; Magnoliopsida; Malpighiales; Euphorbiaceae. The record is from RNAcentral.
GUGAUUCUUUGCUCCUACACUGGGGUGGGAUACGUGAUAGAAAGGCAAAGUGGGUGCUUCCUUUGCGUUGCCCAGAUGGAACAAAAAAUUAUAAGAACAGAGCCCUUAGAAGUCCUUUUGUGAAGUCUGGCACCAGUUCUUACCUCAAAAUAGAGAUCGAUGAUCCUGCAAUACAAGCCUUAGAGUUUCUUAUACUUGAUGAAGCGCGGAAUAAAUGGCUUAAAAAUAAGGGUGAUAACUUUCAUGUUAAGUUACCUGCGCGACAGAAGUUGAUAAUUCCAAAUAUCUCAGUUCCUGAAGAGCUUGUACAAAUUCAAGCAUAUCUGAGGUGGGAAAGAAAGGGUAAACAAAUGUAUACCCCAGAACAAGAAAAGGAAGAAUAUGAAGCUGCUCGUAUCGAGCUAUUGGAGGAAGUAACCAAGGGUAUUUCUGUUGAGGACCUCCGAGCAAGGCUGACAAACAAAAAUGAUAGAUAUGAAAUUAAGGAGCCAGCUGUGUCUAAAACA